Molecule: small RNA, 115 nt
Filed under: Pseudomonas massiliensis
Lineage: Bacteria; Pseudomonadati; Pseudomonadota; Gammaproteobacteria; Pseudomonadales; Pseudomonadaceae
Description: Pseudomon-1/ErsA RNA
Rfam family: Pseudomon-1/ErsA RNA
About the family: Functions to regulate the AlgC enzyme. Based on this information, the new name ErsA for the RNA was adopted. Negatively regulates major porin oprD expression responsible for uptake of carbapenem antibiotics, by base pairing with oprD 5'UTR (leading to increased bacterial resistance to meropenem).
Source: RNAcentral
AUGCUCCUAUGUUGUGUUAAGUGUUGGCAGAUAUCCGGCCCGCCAAAAGCGGCACCGGUACUUGAACCCCGAACUUCGCCCUCCCCAUAUGAAGUUUGGGGUUUUUUUUGCCUGC